RNAcentral lists this non-coding RNA (21 nucleotides) under Caenorhabditis elegans. The record is from RNAcentral. Lineage: Eukaryota; Metazoa; Nematoda; Chromadorea; Rhabditida; Rhabditidae.
UCUAGAGUUAAAAUGAUUCAA